This 494-nucleotide ribosomal RNA is filed under the name uncultured bacterium. RNAcentral's name for it is "partial 16S ribosomal RNA". It matches the Rfam family "Bacterial small subunit ribosomal RNA", at positions 28 to 507 of the family's 1533-position model. The record is from RNAcentral.
GACGAACGCUGGCGGCGUGCUUAACACAUGCCAGUCGAACGGUGAAGCGCCUUCCUUUUUGGUGGGUGUGGAUGAGUGGCGAACGGGUGAGUAACACGUGAGUAACCUGCCCCCUUCUUCUGGAUAACCGCAUGAAAGUGUGGCUAAUACGGGAUAUUCUGGGUCUGUCGCAUGAUGGGUCUGGGAAAGAUAUUGUUUCGGUGGGGGAUGGGCUCGCGGCCUAUCAGCUUGUUGGUGGGGUGAUGGCCUACCAAGGCGGUGACGGGUAGCCGGCCUGAGAGGGUGGACGGUCACACUGGGACUGAGACACGGCCCAGAAUCCUACGGGAGGCAGCAGUGGGGAAUAUUGCACAAUGGGCGCAAGCCUGAUGCAGCGACGCCGCGUGAGGGAUGGAGGCCUUCGGGUUGUGAACCUCUUUCGCCAGUGAAGCAGGCCUGCCUCGUUUGUGGGUGGGUUGACGGUAGCUGGAUAAGAAGCGCCGGCUAACUACGUG